RNAcentral lists this ribosomal RNA (499 nucleotides) under uncultured bacterium. RNAcentral's name for it is "partial 16S ribosomal RNA". It matches the Rfam family "Bacterial small subunit ribosomal RNA", at positions 899 to 1397 of the family's 1533-position model. The record is from RNAcentral.
ACUCAAAUGAAUUGACGGGGACCCGCACAAGCAGUGGAGUAUGUGGUUUAAUUCGAAGCAACGCGAAGAACCUUACCAGGUCUUGACAUCCCAAUGUAACGCCUAGAGAUAGGCGCCCUCUUCGGAGCAUUGGAGACAGGUGGUGCAUGGUUGUCGUCAGCUCGUGUCGUGAGAUGUUGGGUUAAGUCCCGCAACGAGCGCAACCCUUGAUCUUAGUUGCCAGCACGUAAGGGUGGGCACUCUAGGAUGACUGCCGGUGACAAACCGGAGGAAGGUGGGGAUGACGUCAAAUCAUCAUGCCCCUUAUGACCUGGGCUACACACGUACUACAAUGGUCGGUACAACGGGAAGCAAAGGAGCGAUCUGGAGCGAAUCCUUAAAAGCCGAUCUCAGUUCGGAUUGCAGGCUGCAACUCGCCUGCAUGAAGUCGGAAUUGCUAGUAAUCGCGGAUCAGCAUGCCGCGGUGAAUACGUUCCCGGGUCUUGUACACACCGCCCGU